UCUCCCAGAAUUGCUGAUUUGUCCAAAUGGAGUGGUCCUGUACGCAGGUGUAGGCAAACUGGCUGACUCCAGGGGCAAGUUUCUUAUAAAAAGCACUCCUCAAAGG
This is a non-coding RNA of Ceratotherium simum simum (southern white rhinoceros), 106 nucleotides long. The record is from RefSeq and is a predicted model, not a curated record. NCBI's taxonomy places the organism in Eukaryota, Metazoa, Chordata, Mammalia, Perissodactyla, Rhinocerotidae.